Molecule: transfer RNA, 63 nt
Filed under: Scolytinae sp. BMNH 1040327
Lineage: Eukaryota; Metazoa; Arthropoda; Insecta; Coleoptera; Curculionidae
Description: tRNA-Gly
Source: RNAcentral
GCUGAAGUAGUAUAAAAAUUACAUUUAACUUCCAAUUAAAAAAUCUAGAAUAUAGCUUAAGCA